This 432-nucleotide ribosomal RNA is filed under the name uncultured bacterium. Its description in RNAcentral is "partial 16S ribosomal RNA". It matches the Rfam family "Bacterial small subunit ribosomal RNA", at positions 29 to 506 of the family's 1533-position model. The record is from RNAcentral.
AACGAACGCUGGCGGCAGGCCUAACACAUGCAAGUCGAGCGAGCAUUUCGGUGCUAGCGGCGGACGGGUGAGUAACGCGUGGGAACGUGCCCUUUUCUGCGGAAUAGUCCUGGGAAACUGGGGGUAAUACCGCAUACGCCCUUUUGGGGAAAGAUUUAUCGGAGAAGGAUCGGCCCGCGUUGGAUUAGGUAGUUGGUGGGGUAAUGGCCCACCAAGCCGACGAUCCAUAGCUGGUUUGAGAGGAUGAUCAGCCACACUGGGACUGAGACACGGCCCAGACUCCUACGGGAGGCAGCAGUGGGGAAUCUUAGACAAUGGGGGCAACCCUGAUCUAGCCAUGCCGGGGGAGUGAUGAAGGCCUUAGGGUUGUAAAGCUCUUUCAGCUGGGAAGAUAAUGACGGUACCAGCAGAAGAAGCCCCGGCUAACUCCGU